GGUAGUUAAGUCAGAAGUGAAAUCCAAUAGCUCAACUAUUGAACUGCUUUUGAAACUGAUUACCUAGAAUAUGGGAGAGGUAGAUGGAAUUUCUGGUGUAGGGGUAAAAUCCGUAGAGAUCAGAAGGAAUACCGAUUGCGAAGGCGAUCUACUGGAACAUUAUUGACGCUGAGACGCGAAAGCGUGGGGAGCAAACAGGAUUAGAUACCCUGGUAGUCCACGCCCUAAACGAUGUACACUAGUUGUUGUGAGGCUCGACCUUGCAGUAAUGCAGUUAACACAUUAAGUGUACCGCCUGGGGAGUACGGUCGCAAGAUUAAAACUCAAAGGAAUAGACGGGGACCCGCACAAGCGGUGGAGCAUGUGGUUUAAUUCGACGAUACACGAAGAACCUUACCUGGACUUGACAUAGUAAGAACUUUCUAGAGAUAGAUUGGUGUCUGCUUGCAGAAACUUAUAUACAGGUGCUGCGCGGCUGUCGUCAGCUCGUGUCGUGAGAUGUUGGGUUAAGUCCCGCAACGAGCGCAACCCUCGUCAUUAGUUGCUAACAGUUCGGCUGAGAACUCUAAUGAGACUGCCUACGCAAGUAGGAGGAAGGUGAGGACGACGUCAAGUCAUCAUGGCCCUUACGUCCAGGGCUACACACGUGCUACAAUGGGGUAUACAAAGAGCCGCAAUACGGUGACGUGGAGCAAAUCUCAAAAAUAUCUCCCAGUUCGGAUUGUAGUCUGCAA
This 734-nucleotide ribosomal RNA is filed under the name uncultured Arcobacter sp. RNAcentral's name for it is "bacterial SSU rRNA". It matches the Rfam family "Bacterial small subunit ribosomal RNA", at positions 578 to 1310 of the family's 1533-position model. The record is from RNAcentral. Lineage: Bacteria; Pseudomonadati; Campylobacterota; Epsilonproteobacteria; Campylobacterales; Arcobacteraceae.